AUUGAACGCUGGCGGCAGGCCUAACACAUGCAAGUCGAGCGGAUGAAGGGAGCUUGCUCCUGGAUUCAGCGGCGGACGGGUAAGUAAUGCCUAGGAAUCUGCCUGGUAGUGGGGGAUAACGUCCGGAAACGGGCGCUAAUACCGCAUACGUCCUGAGGGAGAAAGUGGGGGAUCUUCGGACCUCACGCUAUCAGAUGAGCCUAGGUCGGAUUAGCUAGUUGGUGGGGUAAAGGCCUACCAAGGCGACGAUCCGUAACUGGUCUGAGGGGAUGAUCAGUCACACUGGAACUGAGACACGGUCCAGACUCCUACGGGAGGCAGCAGUGGGGAAUAUUGGACAAUGGGCGAAAGCCUGAUCCAGCCAUGCCGCGUGUGUGAAGAAGGUCUUCGGAUUGUAAAGCACUUUAAGUUGGGAGGAAGGGCAGUAAGUUAAUACCUUGCUGUUUUGACGUUACCAACAGAAUAAGCACCGGCUAACUUCGUG
RNAcentral lists this ribosomal RNA (484 nucleotides) under uncultured bacterium. Its description in RNAcentral is "partial 16S ribosomal RNA". It matches the Rfam family "Bacterial small subunit ribosomal RNA", at positions 30 to 507 of the family's 1533-position model. The record is from RNAcentral.